This 497-nucleotide ribosomal RNA is filed under the name uncultured bacterium. Its description in RNAcentral is "partial 16S ribosomal RNA". It matches the Rfam family "Bacterial small subunit ribosomal RNA", at positions 28 to 507 of the family's 1533-position model. The record is from RNAcentral.
GAUGAACGCUGGCGGCGUGCCUAAUACAUGCAAGUCGAGCGAAAAGACGAGGAGAUUGUUCUUUUGACGUUAGCGGGGGGCGGGUGAGUAACACGUGGAUAACAUACUUAUAUUUCUGGGAUAAUUACGGAAAACCGGAUAUAAUACUAGAGCAUAUAUUGAACCGCAUGGUUCAAUAGUGAAUGACGGCUUUGGUGUCUGUUAUAGAUGGUUCCGUGCUGGAUUGGUUAGUUGGUAAGGUAACGGCUUACCGAGGGAACGAUGCGUGGCCGAACUGAGAGGGUGAUCGGCCACCCUGGAACUGAGACACGGUCCAGACUCCUACGGGAGGCAGCAGUAGGGAAUCUUCCGCAAUGGGCGAAAGCCUGACCCAGCAACGCCGCGUGAGUGAUGAAGGCCUUCGGAUCGUAAAACCCUGUUAUUAGGGAAGAACAGAUGUGGAAGUAAACAUGGCCGUCUUGACGGUACCUAAUCAAAAAGCCCCGGCUAACUACGUG